AAUGAACGCUGGCGGCAUGCCUUACACAUGCAAGUCGAACGGCAGCAUGACCUAGCUUGCUAGGUUGAUGGCGAGUGGCGAACGGGUGAGUAAUACAUCGGAACGUGCCUUUUAGUGGGGGAUAACGUAGCGAAAGUUACGCUAAUACCGCAUAUUCUCUGAGGAGGAAAGCAGGGGACCUUCGGGCCUUGCGCUAGAAGAGCGGCUGAUGUCGGAUUAGCUAGUUGGUGAGGUAAAGGCUCACCAAGGCAACGAUCCGUAGCGGGUCUGAGAGGAUGAUCGGCCACACGGGGACUGAGACACGGCCCAGACUCCUACGGGAGGCAGCAGUGGGGAAUUUUGGACAAUGGGCGAAAGCCUGAUCCAGCCAUGCCGCGUGAGUGAAGAAGGCCUUCGGGUUGUAAAGCUCUUUCGGCUGGGAAGAAAUCGCAUUCUCUAAUACAGGAUGUGGAUGACGGUACCAGCAUAAGAAGCACCGGCUAACUACGUGCCAGCCGCCGCAGUAA
This 506-nucleotide ribosomal RNA is filed under the name uncultured bacterium. RNAcentral's name for it is "partial 16S ribosomal RNA". It matches the Rfam family "Bacterial small subunit ribosomal RNA", at positions 29 to 523 of the family's 1533-position model. The record is from RNAcentral.